CGCCGUCGCAAAGAGGGUGGAAUUCCGGGUGCAGAGAAAAUCCUUCCCCAAAUCAAAGGGGGGUGCAGAAGAAACGUGUUGGAAUUAUUUCCACUAGAGCACCUGCCCGAAGUAUGAAAACUUGCGGGCAUAUUACGCAUGACAUUGUAUGGAUGUGAUUUAUCAAGGAUGUGGUAUCGUUUGCAUGUCAUCCCAACAAUGCUUUUGCAAACUUGGAGUUUGUCCGUAAAAUGUGGAGGGAAAAGUUUCGAAAAUGCCUUUUGUGGAGGCAAAUUAUUACCAUGCCAAAGGACAUAAACAGAGCUAAUGUCUGGCGUUACAGUAUUACAACGCGCUAAGCAAAAAAAAAUACUUUGCUGAAUCCUAAACCAGGAACCGUGUGCGAUGAAGGAAUUACUCGCCGGGAUAUGUACGAUUCCUAUCUUGUGCCGCAAAAUGUGCGUGAGGGGAGCGUAUCACCGGUUCGUUUCAUUGUGUGCUGCCAGCCGCCGGAACCGAGGUUGACCGUGGAUGACAUCCAAGGCUUAAACUGACCGACAUGUACUACCACUAGACACCGGAACUAUUCGUGUGCCGGCAUCUUGCAUGUAUGCCCGAAAAUUGGCGUACCAGAGUGGAGCAUGCUAUGAACGCAGCAACCGGACACAGCGCUGCUGGAAACAUUAUUUUAUCUGUAAACAGCUGAAAUAAGAUCCCGCAUGGUAGAAACGGUGUGAUUGUAUUUUACGGAUGUGAGUUCGCCAUGCUGGAUGAUUUGCGGGUAAAUUCUGCGUCGAUGAAGUACUUCGUAUGUCAAUUCGCCUCUGCUGAUUCAUUUUACUUUUUUCCUCAAAAAUCGUUUCACACGAAAGUUUGUUGUCGAGAAUAAUACGCGUACGGUAAAAAUCUGCAGUGGAACACGACUAAUGCGCGGAAGCCUUUGUUUUAUGCCGGCCAAAAUUUGCAGACAAAUGAUUUGCGAGCGGCAUGGAAGAUCUAAGUUACCGCAUGUGGGCUGUCUGUUCUUGUUCCCACCUGCAUGCCGCUGUAAGCUGCUGAGGCGCCAAUGGUUAUUUAUUCGCAGCUUGCUCGUAGCUGGUCAGUUAUUGCCACGCCUUACGCAUGGGCUGCUGUAAGAACUGUUAAAAUCAUUUUAAGCGGCAGAUUCAGAUUAAUUCACAUCAUUCGGUUUCUUUUAAAGUGGAGCGUAGAAACAUCGAAUUUUAUCUAAUUUUCGUUGACAAAACAUUUUUUCGUUUUGCGUUUCGUGUGUGUGACUAAAAUGGUUGAUUUUAGCUAUAAAUGUGGGGUAAGAGAUUGCCCAUGUGUGAUCCCAUUAAAGGCUGACAUCGAUUUUUCCUGGAGCGGACCGUUGGGCGGGCUUAAAUGCAGUGUUUUUGGAUGUAAUCACGAGUACGGUCUGCAUAUUCGCUGUAGUUUAUUGGCAGCUGUUAAUCCCGAAUUGAAUUCAAACAUGGGAAACUCCGCUAGCCAU
Paramacrobiotus metropolitanus is the source of this 1474-nucleotide long non-coding RNA. RefSeq lists it as uncharacterized. The transcript has 3 exons. NCBI's taxonomy places the organism in Eukaryota, Metazoa, Tardigrada, Eutardigrada, Parachela, Macrobiotidae. The record is from RefSeq and is a predicted model, not a curated record.